This is a long non-coding RNA of Prionailurus viverrinus (fishing cat), 434 nucleotides long. RefSeq lists it as uncharacterized. The transcript has 4 exons. The record is from RefSeq and is a predicted model, not a curated record. Lineage: Eukaryota; Metazoa; Chordata; Mammalia; Carnivora; Felidae.
CCCGGGCUUCCGGAAGGGACUUCUGGGGAAGUGGGAGGGUGGAAACCGACAGGUUUAUGAAUUAUGCAUCAGGGUUCAUAAGCAGAACCAGGGGACUCAGGUAUCUUGCAAAGGCUUUAUUUGAAAAUUUUGAAACUUACAUCCCACAAGAAUUCAAGAUUAUCACCACAAGAAGAAAGAGAUAAUACAAAAAUAUAUAUCACAGCAUAGGAGCCAGCAGGCGCCUGGCAAGUUUAGUUCUAGUUCAAAAUCAGCUAAUGACCUGGACACCUGAGUCUAAUGAUUCUCUCAGUAAAGUGUGAAGGACUGAGCGACCCAUUAUUAAAUGCAUGCAAAGAGCUCUGGACUUUCUCCCUUCCCCCCUAGGCAGCCCCAGGAAGGAGCUGUGCAGAACAGCUUACCAGAACUUGAAGAUGAUGCCAGUGGCCACGAGA